This 1844-nucleotide long non-coding RNA is filed under the name Homo sapiens (human). RNAcentral describes it as "PREDICTED lncRNA (TCONS_00027578)". The record is from RNAcentral. Lineage: Eukaryota; Metazoa; Chordata; Mammalia; Primates; Hominidae.
GGAUGCCAGCUCUCUGACCCCAGGAGGUUGGAUUGGGCUGGAGAGUGUUCACUCCAGCCUCCUGGCCUUUGCUCAAGCUGUCCUUUGCCUGGGAUACCCAAUUCCUGUUCUCAAGCACAUUUGUCUUGAAGAAAAAUGAUGUGCCGAACUGCGCAGAUGGAAAUUUCGAGCAAUGAGAAAGAUUAAAGUGAAACCCCACUCCUUAGACCUAAUCAUGAGUUGUAGAUUAUUCUGUCGGCCCAGCCAGAUGGUAGCUCUGAUUCCACAGCCCCUUCUUAUAUUAAUGAAUACUCGACUGUUAUAUUUGACUUAGGCUUCUCAUCUGUAACUGGUGAAGCCCGGAAGAGCUUGUUGUUCAAGAGGAAAUCUUGUGUUACUUCUUUAUGAAGGACUCCAGCCUGGUGGAGAUGAAUGAGUCCUGAAGAUGGAAUCGAAGCUGUUUGGGCACAAACAAGGUUUCACUCUUGUUGCCCAGGCUGGAGUGCAAUGGUGUGAUCUAGGCUCACUGCAACCUCCACCUCCCGGGUUCAAGUGAUUCUCCUGUCUCAGGCUCCCAAGUAGGUGGGAUUACAGUACUUUAAUCAGCAUUUAAUGACCCAGUCGAAAAUUCAUUGUUUGGACCCAAGCACUGGUGGGAAAGGCAGGAGGGGAGGCCUGCCUUCCUUCCUCCCUCCCGAGCCCUACAGCAGGCCAUGGAGUGGUGAGCGAGUUCGUACAGUGCCAACCACAUUCCCAGAAACUUCCAGCAGAGGUUAAUCCUGCUCCUCUCAGGUGGGCUUGGCCCAUUCUCUAGACUUUGGAAGGUAAUGUUCUAUAGAGGCCUGUUCUGAAGCUUUACCAGGUCAAACCGGAGAAGAACCCAACAAGUAACUCAUCCCAGCCUAACUAUUCUUCAAGGGCAAUCAACCUACAGCAUCCAAGCACAGAGAAAUCAAAUCCAUGGAGAAUCUUCAAAUUAGGCUCAGAAUCCAUUUGGGUCAAUGAAUUUACUGUUAUUAAGAUCUUAGUUGUGUUCAACCAUGAUUUGACAUACCUUAGAGUGAGAAGAUAUUCUUCCUGGCCUCAGACUAGUUGAAGGUAGAGAGAGAGACAGGCCCUUGGGUGUGGGGAGACCUCUCCUGGGAUAAUACACACAAAAAACCAAGAGCUGCUCACUGUGGUGCAGGAGACAGCAGGGCCUGAAGCCAGAGGCUCUGUGUCCUUGAAUACAAUGUUUUACUCCUCUGACCCCUGUUACUGUGAUUUGGAGAGGCAGACAAUAUAGGAUGGGCUUUGCAGGCAGGGAGGUCCAGUUAUAAUCCCAGCUCUUACUAAGUUGGGUAAGACUCACUCUGAGACUUAGUUUCUUCUGUCAUCUCUCAAUAGAAUCAUAAAGGUACUUUCCUCUUAGUGUUGUUUUAAAAUUCAGUAAAAUAAUGCAGGCUUAGCACAGGGUCUGAUGUAAAUUUUCAAUGAAUUAUCGUUGUCAAUAUUGUUCUGGAAAACAAGAGGGCAUAUUAGAAGAUCAAAAGUACUGCCAAGCAUUGAAGUGCCAAUUCUAGAUCCAGUCUCAGCCCUCUGAGAAUGGAUAUCAUUGUUUUCAAGCCAUUCAGAAACCAAUGUGAAUUGAACACCUAGUAUGAGCUCUCUGAGGGAAGAGCCAAGUCAUGCAUUUUUUAUCUUAAGGGGUCUUCAAUACCUCUAGCCCAAAACAGUAUCUCCAUCAGGAUUCUUCUCUGAUAGUGUUCAUUUCUUUUUUCUCAAUGGAUGCCUUAAAAAAAAAAUCCUACAAGGAAACCUGUACUCCUCAAAUACACCACUCAGGUGACCAUUAAAUCAUUUACAUUGUUAAUUUCUUUUCAGAU